CCUGGGCGUGGUGGCGCGCACCUGUAGUCCCAGCUACUUGGGAGGCUGAGGCAGGAGAAUCGCUUGAGCCCGGGAGGCUGAGGUUGCAGUGAGCCAAAAUCCCCCCAUUGCACUCCAGCCUGGGCAACAGAGCGAGACUCUGUCUCCA
RNAcentral lists this signal recognition particle RNA (148 nucleotides) under Chlorocebus sabaeus (green monkey). Its description in RNAcentral is "Metazoan signal recognition particle RNA". It matches the Rfam family "Metazoan signal recognition particle RNA". Rfam says of the family: The signal recognition particle (SRP) is a universally conserved ribonucleoprotein. It is involved in the co-translational targeting of proteins to membranes. Lineage: Eukaryota; Metazoa; Chordata; Mammalia; Primates; Cercopithecidae. The record is from Rfam by way of RNAcentral.